RNAcentral lists this ribosomal RNA (460 nucleotides) under uncultured bacterium. Its description in RNAcentral is "partial 16S ribosomal RNA". It matches the Rfam family "Bacterial small subunit ribosomal RNA", at positions 338 to 795 of the family's 1533-position model. The record is from RNAcentral.
CCUACGGGGGGCAGCAGUGAGGAAUAUUGGUCAAUGGACGCAAGUCUGAACCAGCCAUGCCGCGUGCAGGAAGACGGCUCUAUGAGUUGUAAACUGCUUUUGUACGAGGGUAAAGGCAGAUACGCGUACCUGUCUGAAAGUAUCGUACGAAUAAGGAUCGGCUAACUCCGUGCCAGCAGCCGCGGUAAUACGGAGGAUUCAAGCGUUAUCCGGAUUUAUUGGGUUUAAAGGGAGCGUAGGCGGUCGGAUAAGUUAGGGGUGAAAUCCCGUGGCUCAACUUCGGAAUUGCCACUGAUACUGGUAGGCUAGAGAGUAGUUGCGGUAGGCGGAAUGUAUGGUGUAGCGGUGAAAUGCUUAGAGAUCAUACAGAACACCGAUUGCGAAGGCAGCUUACCAAGCUACUUCUGACGUUGAGGCACGAAAGCGUGGGGAGCAAACAGGAUUAGAUACCCUUGUAGUC